This 395-nucleotide long non-coding RNA is filed under the name Capsicum annuum. Its description in RNAcentral is "long non-coding RNA (CANN_LNC004019)". Lineage: Eukaryota; Viridiplantae; Streptophyta; Magnoliopsida; Solanales; Solanaceae. The record is from RNAcentral.
CAAGUAUCAGUGAUUUGAUUUUCUUAACAUCAUGCAUGUUGUUGAAGGAAAAAAGAAACAUUUGAACUACAAUUUUCCAGAGAAGACUUCAUAAAUUAGUCUAUUUCCAUAACCCAAAACAUCAGAAAUUACAUUGAUUCUAGUAAAGUUACAAGAGAGCAGUCCUUAAACCGGUUCAAACUAUUCGAUUAGCUCGCAAUUUUGAACAAGCACUUCCUCAUUUUUGUCAAAUAAAGUAAAAGAACAAAAUAUAGGACCAAAGAUCCUUGGGACUGGUAUUGUGCGGAAUGACAGGCCCCUUUAGAUAUCUUGAAUCUAAAGGACCACUCAAGUUGCGGAUAAAUCAUACAAACAAACAGUAAGCAUAGAAAACUCAAAGAUAACACAAAUUCUCA